RNAcentral lists this long non-coding RNA (3642 nucleotides) under Medicago truncatula (barrel medic). RNAcentral describes it as "long non-coding RNA (MTRU_LNC006648)". The record is from RNAcentral. Lineage: Eukaryota; Viridiplantae; Streptophyta; Magnoliopsida; Fabales; Fabaceae.
UUUAUUAAAACUUAUCGAAACACAAAAUGUUAACGUAUAUAUCCAACUUAUCUCACAUCACAUGCAAUGAGAUUCAUACGGCUAAUAAAAGAAAAUGAUGUUACAUCAAUCAAAACAGAUCACAAAACAAGUGGCCUUGCCCACUUUCUCAAAUUUGGAAAAUGUCACACACACGUUAGUGUCCAAGAUGAGGACAAACCAAAGAAGAAAUAGGAUGAGGAUGACACGGACUGGGUCCCCCGGAUUUGCUGCUAUAACAUUUUCACGUCCUUUCAAAGUGUGAUUGAUCUCAACUGCUAAUUUGAGAUCAAACAAUUCAAUUUCAAAUUUGAAGCUCAGUUUUGUAGUAAUACGAUCUCAACUGUCCAUAUCAAACCGCUCAUAUUUGUUAGAGCUUCGUGUUGUAACAUCAGGAAAUCCAAUUCGGGAUGACACUGACCCCUGCUAAACCACUUUCAACCAUGGUAAUUAAGUUCCUCGAAAGGUUGUCACAGGUAUCCCAAUGACAGUGUGACAUGUGUCCAUGUUCGAUGACAUCAAUGUCGUUAUCUCCAAUCUGACGGAGAUGUUGAUUAUGGCAUGUCCCCUGGAACCGUCUUUACCUCGUAGCCGGUAACUCAGGUACCGAACUGAGCCAGGUGUAAGAAGGCCGAUAUCUGAAGCCGGAAUAAAACACCACCCAAGUUGAGCCUGCCCCAUGAUUCUUCUCUUGGUGAAAACCUGAAGGUAUAGACAGGAAGAUGGGUCUGAAAAGAAGGUAGGAUCGAGUGGUACAUGGAACAUGUUAAUAUUAUCACAUGCCUUAGGUGGUGUUGAGGUGGCUGGUGGGAAUUUGGUGAGUGUGAUGAAGGGUUUUAUGGUAGGGUUGAGAUAGGAGGUAUAGUUGUUUAGGCCUUCUGUUGAUAUAAGGGUUAGUUCUAAUAUUACGGUCAUGAUGAUAAGUCAUCAAGAAAUUGAGUAUUAAGUUAACAAUGGAGUAAUAAGAAUAGAGUUAAGGAUUUUUCAAAAUAUAAGAGGGUUGAUGACUGAGGAGGGUGGAAAGAUCAAGUUCAAUAGUCACUGUGCAGUUUCCACGCUGUUGGCAGGAAUUUAAAUCCAAUCAUCAGGCUUGUGGAAAUUUUAGUUUUCAGACUUCAAAUUCCAAAUGUCAACUAUAGUGCCUAGUGUAGUGUGACAUAUGAGUAUGAGAAAAAUUUAAAAUAGAUGAUACUAGUAUCAUUCCUAGAUCAGCACCCCACCACAAAAUAUCAAAAAGUCACAAAAUAUAAAAUAUUACUAUUAAGUUCUAAAUUUUAAUAUAUUUUUUAAACAAAAAGUGCCACAGGAAGCAUGUCCUAAAAUAAUAUAAUCUACUCUUUGUUUAAUAUAUUGAGUGUGACUUCUUUUCCUUGCUGGUCCCUAGUAGUGCACAUUUCCAAUCAAUUUUCCAACAAUAGUUAUCAACAUCAUAGGAUAAGCCCUAUAGUAUUUUUUUUUUUGGCUAAAUUACUUUUUUGGUCCUCUAACUAUUUAAUUGGUAUCGAAUUAGUCAUCUAACUAAAAAUUGAUUUAUUUCAGUCCUCUAAGUUUCUCACUGUUACUACAUUUAGUCUUUUCUAAUAGUUUUAUUCAAAUAAACGUUAGGGUUUGUGUUAUGUGGAUACCUGACCUCCUGUUUCACACAUACAUAUGAACCAUAAUACAAACUCUAACGUUUAUUUGAAUAAAACUAACAGAAAAGACUAAAUAUAGUAACGGUGAGAAACUUAGAGGACCGAAAUAAAUCAAUUUUUAGUUAGAGGACCAAUUCGAUAACAACUAAAUAGUUAGAGGACCAAAAAGGUAAUUAAACUUUUUUUUUUUUUUACUUUUAAACUGUUUUAAAAACAGUCAUUGUUUUAGAAGACUUGAUUUGUUUUAAAUUAUUUAUUACUUUAUAAUUAUGAUUUUUUUUUUUUAUAAAUCAUUUUUGUCCUGAAAUAUUCACCAAAUGAAAAAUAAUGAUAUAAUUAAAUGAAUCAAUAAAUUAAAAAAUCAACAUUCUCUUUUUAAGUUUAUCAAAAUAUUAAUCAUUAUUAUUUUUAGGGAAAUGAGUAUUGGAAAUUAUGAAAAAAAUGAGUAUUUAACUUUUUAAAAAUAAAAAAGUUGUUUUUUUUGAAGAAAAAAAAAAGUGGUUGUUUCCAAUAAAUUUUUUCAAUAUUUAAAUUUCUUAACUAGUGCUCUAGAGGCACUAGUUAAUAAGACCUUUAUUUUUAUACAAGAUGUUUAUCAUGUAAUCUCUUUUGUGAGUUGAGACUCAUUAAAGAGUUGAAACUAAUUCAUUAUCAACGGUCUAAGAGAUGAAAUUGAUCAUCUCGUUUGCUUUUUUUUCUACAUCUCUCUAUUUACUUUCUAUUUCUCUCCUAAUCUCACACACACUCUCUUGAUUGUCUUAUUAUCUUUAAUGAAGGGAGAUAGUGAGAUUGAUGGAGAGAUUGAGCGUAAGGAAAGCGGCGUAAAAACAUAAAUACACUACUAACAUAUAUGAGUUUCUUUUCUUUCACACUUUUUUAUUUCUCUUUCUUUCUUACUUUUACAUGUAAAAACAUCAUUGGGAAAAACUUGUCAAACGAAUUUGAACACGACUUGCAGGGACAAAUAUUUACAAACAAACAACUAUAAAUAAAAAAGUUAUUUCACCAAUAGUCCUAACCAAACCAAAAUUAAACGAGCAUUCAUAUGCCGUUGCAUUCAACCACAAAAACCAAUUCUAUCGGCUCUCUAAUUGAAUAUCUCUUGAAAGAAAUUUGCCAAGACUCAAGGAUUAGGGUGAUGUUUGUUCAAUCUCACGUGAACCUUGGAAGAUUCUACAUUUCACCCGAAAAUUAUUUUAUUUUUGAAACAUGACGGCGUUGGAUAUUGGACGAUGAUGAAGCAACAACAUUCUAUGACAUUAUCUUUUCUGUUGAUUGCUAGCUUGCGACCAAAGAAAGAAAGUUUGAUAAUGUUGCAAGAUAAGCAUGGUACACGUGAUUUUUCACUAAAAUAUUCAUCUUCCACGAAAAAAAAAGAGAAAAGACAAGAUUAUUGAAAUCAGUGAACAUUGAAUAAUAUAUUGAUGAACAUGAAAAGGUACUGCUAUUUCACAAAAUCUGCAACAUGGGAGAGCAUUUCCACAGGUUUAUAACGUUGUUUUGGGGAAGCAGCUGGAAAUGGUGUGGCACUAUGGCAAAAAUUGUUCAAUUUCAUGGCGAUUGAGUCUUUAAUUAAGUGAUCAGGACUUUUACGUUUAUGCAUUAUUUUCUCUCUUUGACAUAUAGUUCUGCUGUAAACUGCAGAGUUUUACCUGUGAUUGAACAGCACUUGGCCAAAGGAACCGAGAAACAUAUCACAUUAUCAGUUUCAUGAUCACUUCAGUUUCAAAUAUAUCUUUUACUUCAGAAGCAAACAAAAUUACAGUUUCAAGGUAAUAUUACUUUUAUAUAUCUAUGCAAAAAAGAAUAUCAUACAUUUUUUUUAGGGGAAUAUCAUUACAUUUGAAUAAUAGAAUGUCUAACUUUCUUCAUUAUUUUCGAAAAAAGCAGACAACUUUAUUCUCAAGAUUAUUGAGUGCCUAAACAGGCAUCAAGUCUUCCUCAACAAUUGGAGGCCUAUUUGUAUGUAAAGAUAUUGGUUAAGCUGAUG